AGACGGAGGGUGCAAGCGUUAAUCGGAAUUACUGGGCGUAAAGCGCUCGUAGGCGGCUUGUUAAGUCGGAUGUGAAAGCCCCGGGCUCAACCUGGGAACUGCAUUCGAUACUGGCAGGCUAGAGUAUAGUAGAGGCAAGUGGAAUUCCGGGUGUAGCGGUGAAAUGCGUAGAUAUCCGGAGGAACAUCAGUGGCUAAGGCGACUUGCUGGACUAAUACUGACGCUGAGGAGCGAAAGCGUGGGGAGCAAACGGGAUUAGAAACCCCAGUAGUCC
This 274-nucleotide ribosomal RNA is filed under the name uncultured bacterium. RNAcentral describes it as "partial 16S ribosomal RNA". It matches the Rfam family "Bacterial small subunit ribosomal RNA", at positions 523 to 796 of the family's 1533-position model. The record is from RNAcentral.